RNAcentral lists this ribosomal RNA (249 nucleotides) under uncultured fungus. Its description in RNAcentral is "partial small subunit ribosomal RNA". It matches the Rfam family "Eukaryotic small subunit ribosomal RNA", at positions 1319 to 1591 of the family's 1831-position model. Lineage: Eukaryota; Fungi. The record is from RNAcentral.
UUAAUUGCGAUAACGAACGAGACCUUAACCUGCUAAAUAGCCAGGCUAGCUUUGGCUGGUCGCCGGCUUCUUAGAGGGACUAUCGGCUCAAGCCGAUGGAAGUUUGAGGCAAUAACAGGUCUGUGAUGCCCUUAGAUGUUCUGGGCCGCACGCGCGCUACACUGACAGAGCCAACGAGUUUCUUCCUUGACCGAAAGGUCUGGGUAACCUUGUUGAACUCUGUCGUGCUGGGGAUAGGGCAUUGCAAUG